Molecule: ribosomal RNA, 248 nt
Filed under: uncultured bacterium
Lineage: Bacteria
Description: partial 16S ribosomal RNA
Rfam family: Bacterial small subunit ribosomal RNA
Source: RNAcentral
CGACUGGCGACCGGCGCACGGGUGAGUAACACGUAUCCAACCUGCCUCAUACUCGGGGAUAGCCUUUCGAAAGAAAGAUUAAUACCCGAUGGUAUAAUCAGACCGCAUGGUCUUGUUAUUAAAGAAUUUCGGUUAUCGAUGGGGAUGCGUUCCAUUAGGCAGUUGGUGAGGUAACGGCUCACCAAACCUUCGAUGGAUAGGGGUUCUGAGAGGAAGGUCCCCCACAUUGGAACUGAGACACGGUCCAA